UUGGAGGGCAAGUCUGGUGCCCGCAGCCGCGGAUAAUUCCAGCUCCAAUAGCGUAUAUUAAAGUUGUUGCAGUUAAAAAGCUCGUAGUUGAAUUUCGGAAUCAAUAUGUUGGUCGUGCCAUUGGUACGUACUGGCAUUAUUGGUUUCUACCUUCUGAAGAACCUCGAUGUCAUUAAUUUGGUGUCUUGGGGAAUCAGGACUGUUACUUUGAAAAAAUUAGAGUGUUUAAAGCAGGCUCGCGCUUGAAUACAUUAGCAUGGAAUAAUGAAAUAGGACGUUUGAUUCUAUUUUGUUGGUUUCUAGGAUCGACGUAAUGAUUAGUAGGGAUAGUUGGGGGCAUCAGUAUUCAAUUGUCAGAGGUGAAAUUCUUGGAUUUAUUGAAGACUAACUACUGCGAAAGCAUUUGCCAAGGAUGUUUUCAUUAAUCAAGAACGAAAGUUAGGGGAUCGAAGACGAUCAGAUACCGUCGUAGUCUUAACCAUAAACUAUGCCGACUAGGGAUCGGAUGAUGUUAAUUUUUAAUGACUCAUUCGGCACCUUACGGGAAAC
RNAcentral lists this ribosomal RNA (549 nucleotides) under uncultured Glomus. RNAcentral describes it as "SSU rRNA". It matches the Rfam family "Eukaryotic small subunit ribosomal RNA", at positions 548 to 1098 of the family's 1831-position model. The record is from RNAcentral. Lineage: Eukaryota; Fungi; Glomeromycota; Glomeromycetes; Glomerales; Glomeraceae.